CAAAGCGCUGAUAACGUGCCAGGUGAUGAUGUCAAACUACUGCUGAUGCAGUAAUCAUUUCAACUGAUUGAUUUCAACUCGACAAUGUGGCUUAUCACCAAAAUGGACAAAAUAAUAAAACAGAAGAUGGUCUCUUGGUCGCUUCAGUAGGAGAUUAUCCUCAUAGACUUCAUGCAAGAGUGGAGAUUCCUUUAGGACCCGAAGGAUGAAAUUUAUUACAGAAGGGGAGACAGAUGCGGUCCUGGAUGAACUUGCUGCUCUACCUGGACAGGAUAUCACGGUUGAAACUGAAAUAUGCAUGCCACCGGACCAGAGAACAAAGCUGAUGGGGAGGGGGAAAGCCAGGGAAGCUAAUGUUAAUAAAUCAAACAGAUCGCAAAGAAUUCCAGUAGGUAAAUAAGAUGAUAGACUUCACAUGCUUGAAAGAUACAAAUAAAAUCCCUCUGCUUUUGGUAAAGGGGCCUGCAAAC
Molecule: long non-coding RNA, 470 nt
Organism: Anguilla anguilla (European eel)
Lineage: Eukaryota; Metazoa; Chordata; Actinopteri; Anguilliformes; Anguillidae
Exons: 4
Source: RefSeq, a predicted model, not a curated record